AAAUCAGAAACUACCCACUAUAUAAAAGCGCUCAUCAAUUUCCAAUUUUAUAUUUUCAUUAUCAAAUACACAAGUGUCUUGCUCAAGAUGAUCGCUAAAGUUAUUAUGUUGUCACUUUACGUGACUUUUGUCGCAGUCGGUGCUCUUCUUCAGUCUUCAUCUUUUAAGGAGUGUGGAAAAGAUAUUCCAACACCCUAUUUUUUCAAUCUCUCGAAUUGCGCUGCAACUCAAUCUGUAUGUCCUCUUUACAUGGGCAUUCCAAUAAAUACUAUUUUUACUUAUACUAUACGUAAGUUUAUAAAAAUUCUGAAAAUAUCUGAAAUAUAUAAAUUUAUUUUAUUUUUGAAUGAUCACUCACAUUUUACCAAUACUGUUAAUAAAAUACUCAUUUUCUAGCUUAUGAGACACAAUCAAUGAAAGUAAGAGCUGCUUUUCGAUUUCCUACGGGCUUAGCAAUGUGGAUGCCAUAUGUGGGGUUCUUGAGGAAUGGUUGUUGGAAUGGUUGGAAUAAUUAUCAAUGUCCUGCUCAACAAGGUCAGGUAGGAUCUUAUUCGACAGGUAAUAUAACUGUCCCAAAAAUUCCUGGCGCAGAUAAUGUUAGGCUUGAUAUAAAAUUCAUGAUGAAAGACGACAAGGAGAGAGAUAUCUUCUGCUUGAUAGUAAAUACUAUAAUUAAAAAAUAUCCAGUGGCUUCAAGCAAAACUAACUAUGUACUUUAAUCCUAAAAUCAAUAUUAAAUAGUGCUUAAGCUAU
Cotesia glomerata is the source of this 753-nucleotide RNA transcript. RefSeq lists it as uncharacterized. The transcript has 3 exons. Lineage: Eukaryota; Metazoa; Arthropoda; Insecta; Hymenoptera; Braconidae. The record is from RefSeq and is a predicted model, not a curated record.